AAUACUUAGUUAAUUAUUAGAUUCAACAAUAAUUGAAGAGGACAUAGAGGAUUUACAAGCAAAACAAUCUGCCAAAUCUACCUCAUCUUGUGACUGCUGCAGUUCCUGCUUGAGGAGCCACAACGAGCUCCCACAUAACUCAACAACGACACAUCGUAUAAAGUAUGCCCUCUCCUGCCCGCCCCAUGGAAAAUUUGGAGAUUGUCUCACAUGGGUAGUGUUUGGCCUGGCUUCCUGGGGCUGCCUCAUCUGUGUUACAUGGGAGAUGGCUCUUCCUGGCGGAAAGUUAUUUAGUCUCCUCUUACUGUAUGUGAUGGCGCUGCUGGCUGGGAUGAUGGCCGACUUUGUAGGCCUACCGUCGUUACUUGGCAGCUUGGUAAUGGGAAUACUUUUCAGCAGUAUUCCUGGGAUAAAGGCUGUUGGACAUAAUAUUGAUAUCUAUUAUUCGUCUGUUCUGAAGGACAUUGCACUUACAAUUAUAUUAAUACGUGCUGGACUCGGACUGGAUCCCGUCGCCCUCAAGAAGUUAAGUUGCACUGUACUACGCUUGGCGCUCUUUCCUUCUUUAGUAGAAACAAUUACAAUAGGUACUGCAUCAGUGUUCUUCCUUGAUCUUCCCUGGAGUUGGAGUCUUAUGC
This is a non-coding RNA of Cherax quadricarinatus, 638 nucleotides long. NCBI's taxonomy places the organism in Eukaryota, Metazoa, Arthropoda, Malacostraca, Decapoda, Parastacidae. The record is from RefSeq and is a predicted model, not a curated record.